UACGGUAGGGUGCGAGCGUUGUCCGGAAUUAUUGGGCGUAAAGAGCUCGUAGGCGGUGUGUUACGUCGGCCGUGAAAACCUGCAGCUUAACUGUGGGCGUGCGGUCGAUACGGGCAUCACUGGAGUUCGGCAGGGGAGACUGGAAUUCCUGGUGUAGCGGUGAAAUGCGCAGAUAUCAGGAGGAACACCGGUGGCGAAGGCGGGUCUCUGGGCCGAUACUGACGCUGAGGAGCGAAAGCGUGGGGAGCGAACAGG
This 255-nucleotide ribosomal RNA is filed under the name uncultured bacterium. RNAcentral's name for it is "partial 16S ribosomal RNA". It matches the Rfam family "Bacterial small subunit ribosomal RNA", at positions 524 to 776 of the family's 1533-position model. The record is from RNAcentral.